RNAcentral lists this ribosomal RNA (806 nucleotides) under Bacillus cereus. RNAcentral's name for it is "bacterial SSU rRNA". It matches the Rfam family "Bacterial small subunit ribosomal RNA", at positions 680 to 1477 of the family's 1533-position model. The record is from RNAcentral. Lineage: Bacteria; Bacillati; Bacillota; Bacilli; Caryophanales; Bacillaceae.
GGUGUAAUGGGGUAAAGAUUGGGGAGGAACCUCCGGUGGGGGAAGGUGACUUUCUUGUUCGGAACCUACACUGGGGCGGGAACGGGGGGGGGAGCAAACCGGAAUAGGUACCCUGGUAAUCCACGCCCGUAAAAGAUGAGUACUAAGUGUUAGAGGGUUUUCCGUCCUUUAGUGAUGAAGUUAACGCAUUAAGCACUCCCCCCUGGGGAGUACGGCCGCAAGGGUGAAAAUCAAAAGAAUUGACGGGGGCCCGCACAAGCGGUGGAACAUGUGGUUUAAUUUGAAGCAACGGGAAGAACCUUACCAGGUCUUGACAUCCUUUGACAACCCUAGAGAUAGGGGUUUUCCUUUGGGAGCAGAGUGACAGGUGGUGCAUGGUUGUUGUCAGCUUGUGUUGUGAGAUGUUGGGUUAAGUUCCGCAAAGAGGGCAACCCUUGAUUUUAGUUGCCAUCAUUUAGUUGGGCACUUUAAGGUGACUGCCGGUGACAAACCGGAGGAAGGUGGGGAUGACGUCAAAUCAUCAUGCCCCUUAUGACCUGGGGUACACACGUGGUACAAUGGACGGUACAAAGAGGUGCAAGACCGCGAGGUGGAGGUAAUUUCAUAAAACCGUUUUCAGUUUGGAUUGUAGGGUGCAAAUUGCCUACAUGAAGCUGGAAUCGGUAGUAAUUGCGGAUCAGCAUGCCGCGGUGAAUACGUUCCCGGGCCUUGUACACACCGCCCGUCACACCACGAGAGUUUGUAACACCCGAAGUCGGUGGGGUAACCUUUUUGGAGCCAGCCGCCUUAGGUGGGACAGGUGUUGA